This 264-nucleotide ribosomal RNA is filed under the name Proteus mirabilis. Its description in RNAcentral is "partial 23S ribosomal RNA". It matches the Rfam family "Bacterial large subunit ribosomal RNA", at positions 1764 to 2025 of the family's 2925-position model. The record is from RNAcentral. Lineage: Bacteria; Pseudomonadati; Pseudomonadota; Gammaproteobacteria; Enterobacterales; Morganellaceae.
GCGCUGAAGCCAGUCGAAGAUACCAGCUGGCUGCAACUGUUUAUUAAAAACACAGCACUGUGCAAACACGAAAGUGGACGUAUACGGUGUGACGCCUGCCCGGUGCUGGAAGGUUAAUUGAUGGGGUUAGCCGUAAGGCGAAGCUCCUGAUCGAAGCCCCAGUAAACGGCGGCCGUAACUAUAACGGUCCUAAGGUAGCGAAAUUCCUUGUCGGGUAAGUUCCGACCUGCACGAAUGGCGUAAUGAUGGCCAGGCUGUCUCCAC